CUAAGAAUCUUCCGCAAUGGGGGAAACCCUGACGGAGCGACGCCGCGUGGACGAAGAAGGCCGCAAGGUUGUAAAGUCCUUUUGCAGGCGAAGAAUAGGCUUAGGAGUGGAACGCCUGAGCGAUGACGUUAGCCUGCGAAUAAGCCCCGGCCAAUUACGUGCCAGCAGCCGCGGUAACACGUAUGGGGCGAGCGUUGUUCGGAAUCACUGGGCGUAAAGGGCGUGUAGGCGGUUCGAAAAGCCUGGCGUGAAAGGUGUCGGCCCAACCGACAGACGGCGCGAGGAACUGCCGGACUGGAGUCACGGAGGGGGAGCUGGAAUUCCAGGUGUAGGGGUGAAAUCUGCAGAGAUCUGGAAGAACACCGGUGGCGAAGGCGAGCUUCUGGCCGAUGACUGACGCUGAGGCGCGAAAGCGUGGGGAGCAAACAGGAUUAGAUACCCUGGUAGUCCACGCUGUAAACGAUGUGCACUAGGUGUUGGUGCCAUACGGGCAUCGGUGCCGUAGCUAAGGCGAUAAGUGCACCGCCUGGGGAGUAUGCUCGCAAGGGUG
RNAcentral lists this ribosomal RNA (550 nucleotides) under uncultured bacterium. RNAcentral describes it as "bacterial SSU rRNA". It matches the Rfam family "Bacterial small subunit ribosomal RNA", at positions 355 to 896 of the family's 1533-position model. The record is from RNAcentral.